RNAcentral lists this long non-coding RNA (1041 nucleotides) under Sus scrofa (pig). Its description in RNAcentral is "lncRNA (ENSSSCG00060036442.1)". The record is from RNAcentral. Lineage: Eukaryota; Metazoa; Chordata; Mammalia; Artiodactyla; Suidae.
CUUAGGCGAGCCCGAGGAGGCGCAGGCCUGGCCCGGGCCCCGCAGGUCAGUGUGAAGGUGGGCGCUGCUGGCGGCCGCGGGCGGGGGUGGUGGCGGAUGGGACUAGGAUCCUGGAGAAGCGGUGAGGAUGGGGAGAGGGGAAGGGGUCCAGAGAUGGGGUGAGGAGCGGCACAGGGCGCGGUGUGGGCAGGUGGGGCGGGAGGAUCCCGCAAUUGGCCCCGCCGCCUCCUCGACGCCGCUCCUCUGCGCCCUCCAUCCAUUUUCUAGCCUGAAAAGGGGGGGGGGGGCCGCAGUGCGACAGUGAAACGUAGACAAAUUCGGAAAACAACUCCCUUUCACACUCAGCGCCCCUGAGGAAAUACUGACCUCCUCGUAAAAAGGUCGCGGUUAGGCGGGUAGCCUGCAGGGGAGGGGAACCCAGAGAUCCAAAGUAGUUUGGAAAGCAUCCUGGUCUGGUGUCUGAGGCCUGAAAAGUAAUGGCAGCUGGGAUGGAGGGGAGGUUGGGGAGGAAACGCUGGAUGAGGGGGCCUGGAUUCAGGAAUGAAACCUCAGCCCCUGUCACUGUCUCCUGUCUGUCUGCAGGACUGCGUGUCUGUUCCCAGCACUCUGCAAGACUAGAAAAGGAGAAGGAACCUGUCCAGAAUCCCUGCAGGACAAGAAAAGGAGGGAAAAUCUCAACAUGGAAAAACUCUGCAAGGAAAAUGAAGGAAAGCCGGAAAGUGAGGGAAAGCCAGAGGAUGAAGUAGAGCCUGACAAUGAAGGAAAGUCGGAUGAGGAAGAAACACCAGAAGUGGAGGGGAAGUCAGCACAUGAGGGAAAGCUCCAGAACGAGGGACAACCAGAAGAUGAGGGAAAACCAGAAGACGAAGGGAAGCAAGAGAAGCAGGGCAAGUCCGAAGAUGAGGGAAAACCACCUGGUGAGGGCACGAUGGAGUCCCAGGCAAAGCCAGAGAGUGAGCCAAGGGCUGCCGAAAAGCGCCCUGCUGAAGAUUACGUACCCCGGAAAGCCAAAAGGAAAACAGACAGGGUGACAGAUGAUUC